AUUAUGUCCGCGCUGACAACAACAGGGCUUGAUCCACUGCAAGUGAAGUGAAGGACUGUUAUCUUAAGAGAGAUGGAAUACUGAGCCAGCAGAGAGUGUAGAGAAUGAGAAGAUUAACAGAAGAUCUAGCAGGACCUGCUGAGUUGAUUCAUUGUUGCUGCAGACAGCAGAAAGUAAUGUUACCCAGAUGGCCUGGCAGGCUAUGAAAGAGUGGCUGAGUCCGGUGUUCUGGGGUCUGCUGCCAGUCCUCUCUGCAGGUCUCUGUAUCUUUCUGAGCCUUAAUGAGGCCCAACCUGCUUAAAAUCAUCUGCUCUGAUGUGGCUAACCAAACCUCAGUGGAUUCCCAAGUCCAAGCCUCCUGACUGUGGCUGGGCCUGUGUGGUAGUGAAAACUGGCAGCUUCACCUCCCAUAGGCAUGGAAUGCAUAAGGACAAGCAAUUAUCCUGUUUCCUCAGGAGAGUAAUGGAUUACACCUCACACACACUGUAUCAACUGCACUGUACCAGCAGGAAGCAGAGGGAAAUUCCAUGUCCUUUCUACUUUGAAAUAGGAGAAAAGAGACAGAUAAACUGAAGGAAUGAAGACAAAGUGGAAGUGCCUAAACAUUUCAAGUUUAAUAACCUGAGCUGAACAACGUUACACACGAAGGAGCUGGAACGUAUUAGCGACUCCAGUGAAGAGUUCUCAGCAGGAAGAAGAAGCAGAUGAUUCACCACCCUUUGUUUAUGUGGGGGACACCAUCUGCUAUCACACCAAGUUCACAGAGGCUACAAAUGUUCUGAGGAGAUUUUACUUUCCAUACCAGGAAUCUACAAUGCAAAGGGGAGUCUGAUUUUGUCUAAUUAUUGUUUCUGUAUUUCUGUAUUAAUGUACAUGUUUAUAGAAUUAUGUAUUCAGUUGAAUUUUCUGUGUAUUACUGUGCACAUAAUUAUGAACUCAGCUAAUUAAUGAUCUAAAUCUUAUCCUAACAUUAACCUGAGUAAUUAAAAGAAAAGCAUUUUUUUUUAAAGGGUCAACACUGUCAGAUGUUCCUGUUCUUGUGGAGCCUUUUGGUCUCCACCAAGUUAUAAAAACAUACCCACACCCACGCAUGCACACACACACACACACACACACACACACACACACACACACACACACACACACACACACACACACACACAAAUACUAGAAUAACCUAUAAUGCUGUAAUCUGUUUAAAUGCCAUGAUAAUCCAUUAUUACUUAUAAAAACACAGCUAGAACAACAGGCUUUUUGAUUCCAAGACAUCAUAAUCAUCAGAGGUUACAUUAUCUAAUACAAACACACUUCCAAUAUUGAGCACAACAGUCUAAUGCCAAGAACUAGUCUUUGUGAGAUGCUGAAGUGUUGAACACAAGACAUGCCCUUGAUAUGGCAUGGCAUGUUUUUUAUACAACACUGAAACAAAUCUGUCUGGGAUGAAAUUUAAGACAAAGCUGGGAGCCAAAACAAUGAGUGAGCUGAAUGAUAAGCUAAAGGCAAAAUGGAAACCUGCUGGAACACAGCUCAUGCAUGUCAGCUAUAUUGCUUCAUAAUCCCCCUGUUAUCUACAACAGCAGGAAACAAAAUGAUGCUAUACAAUUUAAAUUGUGAACUGUUACAAGAGAAAUCGAUCAAACAUGAGAGGCUUCUUUAACACAAGACUGGAGUUCUGGGUCAUCAGCAGGCCUGUGUGGAACAGGUCUGGCUCCCUCCAGGGGCUGCUGAGGUUUUCGGUCAGGCAUGGCCAACCAUUUGUCAUCUGCCUUAUCUGCCUGUUAUUAUCCGAAAUGGAUGCCAGAUGCCCUGGAGCGCAGCCAUAGUAACUGGAUUUGCUGCAUGCACAGAAAAAAACCUGGACUCGUAAUUACAUAAUUCUGAACAUUAUAUGGAGUAUGAUAAGGUGUAUGUUUUGUGUGUGUGUGUGCGUGUGUGUGCAUUGAAGGAUAAGGUUUCAGGCAGUUUUCCUCUCAUGCAAGACUGGUCUUGUAUUUCUUGUACAGUGAGGGAAAAAAAUAUUUGAUCCCCUGCUGAUUUUGUACGUUUGCCCACUGACAAAGAAAUGAUCAGUCUAUAAUUUUAAUGGUAGAUUUAUUUGAACAGUGAGAGACAGAAUAACAACAAGAAAAUCCAGAAAAACGCAUGUCAAAAAUGUUAGAAAUUGAUUUGCAUUUUAAUGAGGGAAAUAAGUAUUUGACCCCUCUGCAAAACAUGACUUAGUACUUGGUGGCAGAACCCUUGUUGGCAAUCACAGAGGUCAGACGUUUCUUGCAGUUGGCCACCAGGUUUGCAAACAUCUCAGGAGGGAUUUUGUCCCACUCCUCUUUGCAGAUCUUCUCCAAGUCAUUAAGGUUUCGAGGCUGACGUUUGGCAACUCGAACCUUCAGCUCCCUCCACAGAUUUCCUAUGGGAUUAAGGUCUGGAGACUGGCUAGGCCACUCCAGGACCUUAAUGUGCUUCUUCUUGAGCCACUCCUUUGUUGCCUUGGCCGUGUGUUUUGGGUCAUUGUCAUGCUGGAAUACCCAUCCACGACCCAUUUUCAAUGCCCUGGCUGAGGGAAGGAGGUUCUCACCCAAGAUUUGACGGUACAUGGCCCCGUCCAUCGUCCCUUUGAUGCGGUGAAGUUGUCCUGUCUCCUUAGCAGAAAAACACCCCCAAAGCAUAAUAUUUCCACCUCCAUGUUUGACGGUGGGGAUGGUGUUCUUGGGGUCAUAGGCAGCAUUCCUCCUCCUCCAAACACGGCGAGUUGAGUUGAUGCCAAAGAGCUCCAUUUGGUCUCAUCUGACCACAACACUUUCACCCAGUUGUCCUCUGAAUCAUUCAGAUGUUCAUUGGCAAACUUCAGACGGGCAUGUAUAUGUGCUUUCUUGAGCAGCGGACCUUGCGGGUGCUGCAGGAUUUCAGUCCUUCACGGCGUAGAGUGUUACCAAUUGUUUUCUUGGUGACUAUGGUCCCAGCUGCCUUGAGAUCACUGACAAGAUCCUCCCGUGUAGUUCUGGGCUGAUUCCUCACUGUUCUCAUGAUCAAUGCAACUCCACGAGGUGAGAUCUUGCAUGGAGCCCCAGGCCGAGGGGAGAUUGACGGUUCUUUUGUGUUUCUUCCAUCUGCGAAUAAUCGCACCAACUGUUGUCACCUUCUCACCAAGCUGCUUAGCAAUGGUCUUGUAGCCCAUUCCAGACUUGUGUAGGUCUACAAUCUUGUCCCUGACAUCCUUGGAGAGCUCUUUGGUCUUGGCCAUGGUGGAGAGUUUGGAAUCUGAUUGAUUGAUUGAUUCUGUGGACAGGUGUCUUUUAUACAGGUAACAAGCUGAGAUUAGGAGCACUCCCUUUAAGAGUGUGUUCCUAAUCUCAGCUCGUUACCUGUAGAAAAGACACCUGGGAGCCAGAAAUCUUUCUGAUUGAGAGGGGG
Long non-coding RNA from Ictalurus punctatus (channel catfish), 3408 nucleotides. Lineage: Eukaryota; Metazoa; Chordata; Actinopteri; Siluriformes; Ictaluridae. The record is from Ensembl.